CAGCAGCCGCGGUAAUUCAGGGGGUGCGAGCGUUAAUCGGAAUUACUGGGCGUAAAGGGCGCGUAGGCGGUCUAGUAAGUCGGAUGUGAAAUCCCCGGGCUUAACCUGGGAAUUGCAUUCGAUACUGCUUGGCUAGAGUGUGGAAGAGGGAAGCGGAAUUUCCGGUGUAGCGGUGAAAUGCGUAGAUAUCGGAAGGAACACCAGUGGCGAAGGCGACUUUCUGGCCUGUUCUUGACGCUGAGGCGCGAAAGCUAGGGGAGCAAACGGGAUUAGAUACCCCGGUAGUCCUAGCCGUAAACGAUGGACACUAGGUGUUGGUGGUAUCAACCCCGCCAGUGCCGUAGCUAACGCAUUAAGUGUCCCGCCUGGGGAGUACGGCCGCAAGGCUAAAACUCAAAGGAAUUGACGG
Molecule: ribosomal RNA, 409 nt
Filed under: uncultured bacterium
Lineage: Bacteria
Description: bacterial SSU rRNA
Rfam family: Bacterial small subunit ribosomal RNA
Source: RNAcentral